UCAGGUCGACCUGAAUACCUGAACACAUUUUUUUUUUAAAUAAAUAAUACCUCAUGACUUAUACUUAAUCUAGCUAAGUAAACAACGAGAACUUAUCCAAAAAAUCGAAUGGGUCAUCAAAAUAUCCAAAAUAUACAUCAUCAAUUCAUCAUAGUUCGCAGACCCUUAAUUUGAUGCAACACACUAGAAAAAUAAAUGUCAAAUACAAAAAGAUUAACAAAGCAUAAGCCUAAUGCAGCCUUCAUUUUAUUUCUUCAAGUAUGACCCUUAGUUGAUAUAUGCAUGUGUGAGGACUCCGCAUAGUUAGAACUGAACAACAUCACGACCUUGGGACCAUCCAAACAUCUGGCAGUCUUCUGCUGGAGCACUCGACCAGUCAACCUGUCAUAGGCUACACUCUGUCAAAAGAAAGAAAGAAAGAGAGAUCAGCACAUGGGAAUGCAAAAAAAACAUAUAUCAAGAUUUCAUUUUUGUGUUCUUGACUAGUCCACCUAGUAGCAUAGAAAGAAAAGAGAAUAUUUGACCUUAAUUUAAUGUAUAUCUGACCACAAUAAGUUGAUUUUGUGAGAAAUCAAAGCGACAUUGGCAACAAGCACAAGCCUGCCAUAAGAUGUUGCACACUUUCUUGUAGGCUCCAAGUUAAGUUCGCUACUUGUAAUAGAAAUCUAGAACCAUAAAUGGUACCUAGCUGGCUAGCUACCAGUACACUGAUCAGUAUCAAAACAAUAUAUAAACCUCAUUACCAUACACAUGUAGUUCACAAUAAACUUAUCACCAAUCAAGUAAAGAAUUUGUUAUGAGUUCUAAAACACCUCUUCCCCCUCAUGUUCUUAUGGUUUCUUUUCCUGGACAAGGCCAUGUUAACCCUUUACUUAGGUUAGCCAAACGACUUGGUUCAAAGUGUAUAUUCAUUACCUUUUCCUCUACAAACAAUGUUGGUCAUAUGAUUCAAAAAUCCACAAAUACUGAACCUGGUACACCUACCAAUAUUGACCUUGGUUAGCUUCGUUUCGAGUUUUUUGAUGAUGGUUGGGAGGAUGAUGAUUUACGACAUUUAACUUAGAGAAAAAUCAGCACUUCAGUAUUCAUGUAUGCCAACAUAUAUUCAGAGAACAGAACACAAAUCAUUAGGUGAUAACAUAGUGUUUAAAUAAGAUGGCGAAAGAAAGAAGCAUCAUGUUGUCUACUGGUUAUGCUUUAGUUUUUACAUUUAGUGUUGCAGUGUUGCGAGUUUUCAAUUUAUCGACUUAGCAUUGCAGUUCAAGUUAGAUGCAUAAUCUAGUCUUAAACUCUUAAUUAAACAAAGAAACACAUAAUUGAAAGAAAAAAAAUCCACAGAUUCAAUCAAUUAAUUGUUUGAUUUAUAAUUUUUGAAAACAAACAAACCCUAGCAUUCAAUCAGAGAAUACAAUUGAUGAAUUGUAUUUAUACUUAUUUUAUUCAGUAUUGGAUUGAUAGGUAUUUGAUUGAAGAAUAGCAAGAAAUAAAAUAGAGAAUACAAUUGAUGAAUUGAUUGAAAAAUAAGAAUAGGAAGAAGAAGAAAGCAGAGAUUUGAAUAAGAGCGUACCUUUAACUCUUUAAUGAAGCGGAGAUAUCCUUAGAUUGAAUUCGCUUCAAACUUUCGAUUCAUGGCUGACCGUAAAUAGCUCUUCAGCAAGGAUAUAAAUGUAUUUUUCUGCAGACUGACUCACUUAAGUUCACAACAUCAUACAAGAAGACAUCAACCUACAUGGAGAGUCAGAGGUAUAGUUGGCAAGAUCAAGGAACUUAUUUCAGAAUUUGUAAGUUUUAGAAUGAAACAUGUACUUAGAGAAGCAAACUCAGUUGCGGACAUC
This 1835-nucleotide long non-coding RNA is filed under the name Aquilegia coerulea. RNAcentral's name for it is "long non-coding RNA (ACOE_LNC000255)". The record is from RNAcentral. Lineage: Eukaryota; Viridiplantae; Streptophyta; Magnoliopsida; Ranunculales; Ranunculaceae.